RNAcentral lists this ribosomal RNA (305 nucleotides) under uncultured bacterium. RNAcentral describes it as "bacterial SSU rRNA". It matches the Rfam family "Bacterial small subunit ribosomal RNA", at positions 334 to 654 of the family's 1533-position model. The record is from RNAcentral.
UACGACCUACGGGGGGCAGCAGUGGGGGAUAUUGCACAAUGGGGGAAACCCUGAUGCAGCGACGCCGCGUGUGGGAAGACGGUCCUCUGGAUUGUAAACCACUGUCCCCAGGGACGAAGAUGACGGUACCUGGGGAGGAAGCUCCGGCUAACUACGUGCCAGCAGCCGCGGUAAUACGUAGGGAGCAAGCGUUAUCCGGAUUUAUUGGGUGUAAAGGGUGCGUAGACGGGAAAUUAAGUUAGUUGUGAAAUCCCUCGGCUCAACUGAGGAACUGCAACUAAAACUGGUUUUCUUGAGUGUUGGAG